GUUGCUGCAAAAGUACAAUGUUGAGGAAGAUCUGACAGAUCUAGCUCCUCCUCCUCCGCUCUCCUCUUCUCUCUCCCUAUUUUCUAGAUUACAACUAGAACUAGAACUAGAUGAGCUAGAGGGAUCCUCUCUACUUGGAUGAAGAAUUGAAACCCUAACUUUGAUUCUGUAGAAGAGGUAUGAUCUCCAGGGGCCAGGGGGCCUUGCUUAUAUAGUCUUUUCAGAUGAAUCUGGGCCGUCGGAUCAAAACGACAUUAAUCGCACGGUUUUCCUUGAUCCCUUAGGUUGGUGGAGCACGAUCCGCGAAAAGGACUCUGAUUGGGCACUGUAGCAGGGCAGGCGCCCAGGAGAGUAGGGCGGGCGCCCUGCCUCCGAGCCCGAUUGCCUUCCCGUUCGUUCCGGUGGCUUCUGGAGUCUUCUAGAUGGUAGAAAAUUGCACGGCACGUUAAUAUCUCUAUGUAAUCCCGACAUGUGGGCCUUUCUUCCAUAUUUCCUGAUAACCCCCUGCAGAAAUAGACAAACAUCAAAACUCAUGGAAUUCUUUCAGAUAAAACCCUAAGUCUAGGUGUUGGUUGCAUAUAAGUCCUUUUCCAUGAUUAGUUGAUGGUUAAAUGUGAGCAUUGAGGACCGUCAACAAGCUCCCACAAGCUUAACCUUUGCUCGUCCCAGAGCAAAGCUAAAAUCAGCAAGAAAACAGGGGUUACUUUUAUGCCUCUUACUAGAGGGUUUUUAAGCAAAGCACUAUGUCUCAAGUUCUUUUGUCUUACCUUUGUUCUGGAGUUUUUUAUAAGUCUGCAAAAUAAAACUGAGACAUUUGCCUUCUUCUCGAAAGAUAUAUAAGUAGAGCUUUAAAAGUUUUAGCACACUUACUUUGAAUUUUGCUAUGUCAAUGCUCGGAGCAUGGGAGAGGAAUGUCAUACUCCUAGAUCAUUUGCCAAGAGGUAAACUUGGUAGUUAUCUUUUUCCUUUUAAUUAUUUAAAAUAGUUUGCGUAGUUAAUCUGGUUCAUAUCAUCUUGAAAAGAAAAUAAAAAUGUUAAAAAUAGUAAGCCUCAUGUGAGUAUGCUCAUGGCAUAAAACCCAUAAGUACAUUCACUGUGGUGGCGUAAAAAUGAAAUAAAUAUAUUCCUGUCCUAUAAAAAAUAAAAUUAUAAAAAUAGAUUUAUGAUCCUACUAAAGAGAGUAACAUUUAUUGAGGAGGCUCAACAUGAUAAAGGCUAGAUAUUUAUGCUAACACUUAACCAGUUGCACAAAGCUUUGUGGUCUAUUUGAGCUCCACAGAAUUCAAGGAUCAAAGAAGACUAGCUGACGAAGGACAUCCUAAUCGCUGUCAGGGUGCUGCUGACAUUCAAAUACACCUCUGCCACAUGCUAGCUACAUCAGAAGAAAUUACCUCAAAAUCCAGCUUGGGGGAGAGCACCCCCAUUUAUCCAGCUAAGUGUUCUACUCAUGUUUAUAUUUUACUCAAAUAAUAAAAGAUGCAUAAUCAUAAAAACCCAAAUAAAGAUUUUGUGCUUAUAUAUAUAUAUAUAUAUAUCUUUGCUUAGUUUUCUAAAUAAAUAAAUAAAUAAAGUUUGCUAUGAACCCUCAUGAUAAGCUCUCACAUGGAAAUGAUGAAUAGUUGCUCUGCCAUGACUAGUUCUCAAAAUUAAAAUCUCUCUCAAGUUUAGGCAUGACUGUUAUUAAUUAAGAAUUGCUCUAAAUCUGAACUUGUGAGAAGAGUACUGGAUCUAAAGUCUAAGUCGUUAACGGAUACGUAUGUGAAGGUUGAGCUGCUGUUUAUCUGUUCUUAGAGAUGCUAGAAUUCUGGAGAAUUUUAUCUUUGAAAAUCUUUAAAAUGUUGCAUGAUGAGUUCCUGUAUGAUGAGAGUUUAAAAUCCUACCACAGCCAUAUAUACAUGCUUAUUAGACUAUGAACCAUACAUUUACUUUUUACUGCUUAUGAGCAUUGAGUGUGGUCAAGCUAUGUAGACCCUUAGGAGCUUGUCAUGUGGUUAAAUCAAGAUUCACUUGCACGUUCACUCACACAUGCUGCUUCUACUCCAGAAGUACGGAUCCACAUAUAUCCACCCAUUUCCAUCUCCAGAACCACCCAAAAAUAUUCUACUCCUAAUCCGGUAGAGAAUAGCCAAAAACAUUCUCCUAUUUCUAUUUUCCCCUGUGAAAUAAAUGCUCAAGUUAUUUCGGUUACUACCACUUGCUACAUUAUUUAAAGAGGUGAGUGCUCUAAAAAACGAAAAUAAGAUACGAGGAAAUAAAAAGGGGCAAGUGCUCGGAAUCUCAAAAGAAAAGAAAAAAUGAGACGAGAGGUAAAAAUGUACAAGUGUCCGACAGUAGAAUUAGGGGUACAAGAUACCCACCUGAGAGAAAAGAAAAAGAAAAUAUAGAGCAUCUCAUUCUCCUCAAAAAGUUUCCAAAGAGCAAGAAAGGUAUGUAUUCCCUCAAAAGAGCAAUUAGACUUUCACCAUUGUUAUCACCAUCAUCACCAUACACCAUUUAUUCGCCACACAUGCACAUCUUGAUUUGACUUAUUGACUUGUUUCUCUGGAUCCAUUGUUUGACUAUGAAAUAAAUGUCUUGUAAGUAUGUAUUAUUUGUCUCCCACCUAUGAGCUCCAGAUAUCAAAAACCUUAUUAGAGUAGGACGAGAGAGAAGGCAAUGUCACUAUGCCUUAUACCACAAAUACUACAUACUUUGAGAGAAGGCAUAUACCAUUACUGCCUUGGUAAGGAUCCAGAAAUACCACAAAAGAG
RNAcentral lists this long non-coding RNA (2750 nucleotides) under Sorghum bicolor (sorghum). RNAcentral describes it as "long non-coding RNA (SBIC_LNC014063)". The record is from RNAcentral. Lineage: Eukaryota; Viridiplantae; Streptophyta; Magnoliopsida; Poales; Poaceae.